CACGCCGGCCAUAGGCGGAGGGGGAACACCCGGACUCGUCAGAUCCCGGAAGUUAAGCCCUCUGCCGCGGGACCGAGUACUCGAUUCCGCGAGGGUCGGGGAAAGGCCCGUGCUGGCGGCG
RNAcentral lists this ribosomal RNA (121 nucleotides) under Thermoprotei archaeon. Lineage: Archaea; Thermoproteati; Thermoproteota; Thermoprotei. The record is from RNAcentral.